GGGGAAAAAAACGAAUUUGGGGAGGAAAGUGGAGAGGGAUCAUAGCAGCUAGGCAAGCGAUGAGCACCUUGUCCGGCGAUGAGCAGAGAGAGAGAGAGACAGAGGGGAUUGCUAUUUCACCUCUAUCCUGGCGGCGUCGGCGGCUGCGGCGAGGGGUACUCGUGGUGGGCAGUGCCGCAGGCGAGGUCGCCGGAGAUAUUAGGGAAGGGGGGAGGAGUGUCCAUGGUGUGGCGCGGCUGCCGGUAGCGUCGACCGAUAUAUAUGGACUCUGCCGCCACUGCUCCUCCAAGGCGACUGCCGGCGCCGGCAUCGAGUGUAAUCUAACAUUAACAAGAUACAGAUGAUGGAAUAUCUUUUUCUGCUGAGUCAAAAGGAAAUCAGCUGACCGAAAUCUAGAGAAAAAGAUCUCUGAAAUUGCCAUUUUUUUGUUUCUCAGGAUUCUGGCGAGCGAAUAAGUUCUUGUAUUGAUUCUGUUCUUUCAAUUAUAUAUAUUUAUACAGAGAAGAGAGAAUUGCGUUAGAGAAGAAAUUGCAAGGAUGUUAUAUAUUAAUUUAGAGUUGCUUUUUAAGGAUGGUUAUCGUGGAAGGAUCGAUUCUCUUUGGAGACAACAAAUUUAGCUAUUUUAUGUAAAGUAAUUUAAGUUUAUUCUUAUUCUUCAAUGAUCGAUCAUUCAUCUACU
This is a long non-coding RNA of Zingiber officinale, 679 nucleotides long. RefSeq lists it as uncharacterized. Lineage: Eukaryota; Viridiplantae; Streptophyta; Magnoliopsida; Zingiberales; Zingiberaceae. The record is from RefSeq and is a predicted model, not a curated record. The transcript is spliced from 2 exons.